This 358-nucleotide unclassified non-coding RNA is filed under the name Hevea brasiliensis (rubber tree). The record is from RNAcentral. Lineage: Eukaryota; Viridiplantae; Streptophyta; Magnoliopsida; Malpighiales; Euphorbiaceae.
UGCAAGAGCUUUGAAGAAUAAGGACUUACACGAAUGGAAGGAUGCCUUGAAGGAACUAUCUAGGGUUGAUAAUGAAGGAAUUCAGGCAAAAGUGUACUCAGCGCUGGAGUUGAGCUACAAUCAUCUAGCCAGUGAUGAAGUCAAGUCAUUUUUCCUGCUUUGUGCUCUAUUUGCUCAGAGUGAUAUUCGAGUCAGAGACUUGUUGUUGUACGGUAUCGGUUUGGAUUUGCUUAGAAGCAAAAAUACAGUGGAGGACGCAAGAAACAGAGUAGAUAAAUUGAUAAGUGGCCUCAAAGCCUCUUGCUUGCUACUAGACGGUGAAAAGAAUGGGUCGGUGAAAAUGCAUGACGUUGUUAGA